Molecule: long non-coding RNA, 247 nt
Organism: Mus caroli (Ryukyu mouse)
Lineage: Eukaryota; Metazoa; Chordata; Mammalia; Rodentia; Muridae
Source: RefSeq, a predicted model, not a curated record
CGGACGGCGCCAGUUGUGUGAGCCGCGGAGAGUCAGAGAAGACUGGAUCUUCACUGGAGACUAGAAGUUAGCACCAUGCCUACAAAACGUCCACAUCUUCUGUCUAUUCCAAGGAUGUCCUCAUCAUCUCCAUUUUCUCCAUAGAUGUCCUCCUUCUUCUCCCUUACCUUGCUCACUUAAAAUUGCUUUGUUUAACAACUGGAUCUCUUCCUGGUAGCCAUCCCGCUCUUCAUGCUGCCGCCUGCUG